Molecule: transfer RNA, 74 nt
Filed under: Rhipicephalus sanguineus (brown dog tick)
Lineage: Eukaryota; Metazoa; Arthropoda; Arachnida; Ixodida; Ixodidae
Description: transfer RNA proline (anticodon CGG)
Rfam family: tRNA
About the family: Transfer RNA (tRNA) molecules are approximately 80 nucleotides in length. Their secondary structure includes four short double-helical elements and three loops (D, anti-codon, and T loops). Further hydrogen bonds mediate the characteristic L-shaped molecular structure. tRNAs have two regions of fundamental functional importance: the anti-codon, which is responsible for specific mRNA codon recognition, and the 3' end, to which the tRNAs corresponding amino acid is attached (by aminoacyl-tRNA synthetases). tRNAs cope with the degeneracy of the genetic code in two manners: having more than one tRNA (with a specific anti-codon) for a particular amino acid; and 'wobble' base-pairing, i.e. permitting non-standard base-pairing at the 3rd anti-codon position.
Source: Rfam by way of RNAcentral
UCCUGGUUAGCUCAAUUGGUAGAGCGACGGCCCCGGAAAACCGUUGGUCCCGGAUUCGAUCCCCGGACCAGGAC